Small nuclear RNA from Callithrix jacchus (white-tufted-ear marmoset), 105 nucleotides. The record is from Ensembl. NCBI's taxonomy places the organism in Eukaryota, Metazoa, Chordata, Mammalia, Primates, Cebidae.
AUGCUCGCCUCGGCAGCACAUAUACUAAAAUUGGAACGAUAGAGAAGAUUAGCAUGGCCCCUGUGCAAGGAUGACAUGCAAAUUCGUGAAGCAUUCCAUAUUUUA